CCUACGGGCGGCAGCAGUGGGGAAUAUUGGACAAUGGGGGGAACCCUGAUCCAGCCAUGCCGCGUGUGUGAAGAAGGCCCUCGGGUUGUAAAGCACUUUCAGUGAGGAAGAACGCCUGGUGGUUAAUACCCAUCAGGAAAGACAUCACUCACAGAAGAAGCACCGGCUAACUCCGUGCCAGCAGCCGCGGUAAUACGGAGGGUGCGAGCGUUAAUCGGAAUUACUGGGCGUAAAGCGCGCGUAGGUGGCUUGAUAAGCCGGUUGUGAAAGCCCCGGGCUCAACCUGGGAACGGCAUCCGGAACUGUCAAGCUAGAGUGCAGGGGAGGAAGGUAGAAUUCCCGGUGUAGCGGUGAAAUGCGUAGAGAUCGGGAGGAAUACCAGUGGCGAAGGCGGCCUUCUGGACUGACACUGACACUGAGGUGCGAAAGCGUGGGUAGCAAACAGGAUUAGAUACCCCUGUAGUC
RNAcentral lists this ribosomal RNA (465 nucleotides) under Vreelandella stevensii. Its description in RNAcentral is "partial 16S ribosomal RNA". It matches the Rfam family "Bacterial small subunit ribosomal RNA", at positions 338 to 795 of the family's 1533-position model. Lineage: Bacteria; Pseudomonadati; Pseudomonadota; Gammaproteobacteria; Oceanospirillales; Halomonadaceae. The record is from RNAcentral.